GUAGGGAAUCUUCGGCAAUGGACGAAAGUCUGACCGAGCAACGCCGCGUGAGUGAAGAAGGUUUUCGGAUCGUAAGACUCUGUUGGUAGAGAAGAACGUUGGUGAGAGUGGAAAGCUCAUCAAGUGACGGUAACUACCCAGAAAGGGACGGCUAACUACGUGCCAC
This 166-nucleotide ribosomal RNA is filed under the name uncultured bacterium. Its description in RNAcentral is "partial 16S rRNA". It matches the Rfam family "Bacterial small subunit ribosomal RNA", at positions 354 to 511 of the family's 1533-position model. The record is from RNAcentral.